CUGGCGGCGCUUAGCGCGGUGGUCCCACCUGACCCCAUGCCGAACUCAGAAGUGAAACGCCGUAGCGCCGAUGGUAGUGUGGGGUCUCCCCAUGCGAGAGUAGGGAACUGCCAGGC
RNAcentral lists this ribosomal RNA (116 nucleotides) under Escherichia coli. Lineage: Bacteria; Pseudomonadati; Pseudomonadota; Gammaproteobacteria; Enterobacterales; Enterobacteriaceae. The record is from RNAcentral.